RNAcentral lists this ribosomal RNA (1553 nucleotides) under Pectobacterium brasiliense. RNAcentral's name for it is "bacterial SSU rRNA". It matches the Rfam family "Bacterial small subunit ribosomal RNA". The record is from RNAcentral. Lineage: Bacteria; Pseudomonadati; Pseudomonadota; Gammaproteobacteria; Enterobacterales; Pectobacteriaceae.
CUUAAAUUGAAGAGUUUGAUCAUGGCUCAGAUUGAACGCUGGCGGCAGGCCUAACACAUGCAAGUCGGGCGGUAGCACAGAAGAGCUUGCUCUUUGGGUGACGAGCGGCGGACGGGUGAGUAAUGUCUGGGAAACUGCCUGAUGGAGGGGGAUAACUACUGGAAACGGUAGCUAAUACCGCAUAACCUCGCAAGAGCAAAGAGGGGGACCUUCGGGCCUCUCGCCAUCAGAUGUGCCCAGAUGGGAUUAGCUAGUAGGUGAGGUAAUGGCUCACCUAGGCGACGAUCCCUAGCUGGUCUGAGAGGAUGACCAGCCACACUGGAACUGAGACACGGUCCAGACUCCUACGGGAGGCAGCAGUGGGGAAUAUUGCACAAUGGGCGCAAGCCUGAUGCAGCCAUGCCGCGUGUGUGAAGAAGGCCUUCGGGUUGUAAAGCACUUUCAGCGGGGAGGAAGGCGGUAAGGUUAAUAACCUUAUCGAUUGACGUUACCCGCAGAAGAAGCACCGGCUAACUCCGUGCCAGCAGCCGCGGUAAUACGGAGGGUGCAAGCGUUAAUCGGAAUGACUGGGCGUAAAGCGCACGCAGGCGGUCUGUUAAGUUGGAUGUGAAAUCCCCGGGCUUAACCUGGGAACUGCAUUCAAAACUGACAGGCUAGAGUCUUGUAGAGGGGGGUAGAAUUCCAGGUGUAGCGGUGAAAUGCGUAGAGAUCUGGAGGAAUACCGGUGGCGAAGGCGGCCCCCUGGACAAAGACUGACGCUCAGGUGCGAAAGCGUGGGGAGCAAACAGGAUUAGAUACCCUGGUAGUCCACGCUGUAAACGAUGUCGAUUUGGAGGUUGUGCCCUUGAGGCGUGGCUUCCGGAGCUAACGCGUUAAAUCGACCGCCUGGGGAGUACGGCCGCAAGGUUAAAACUCAAAUGAAUUGACGGGGGCCCGCACAAGCGGUGGAGCAUGUGGUUUAAUUCGAUGCAACGCGAAGAACCUUACCUACUCUUGACAUCCAGAGAAUUUGCUAGAGAUAGCUUAGUGCCUUCGGGAACUCUGAGACAGGUGCUGCAUGGCUGUCGUCAGCUCGUGUUGUGAAAUGUUGGGUUAAGUCCCGCAACGAGCGCAACCCUUAUCCUUUGUUGCCAGCGAUUCGGUCGGGAACUCAAAGGAGACUGCCGGUGAUAAACCGGAGGAAGGUGGGGAUGACGUCAAGUCAUCAUGGCCCUUACGAGUAGGGCUACACACGUGCUACAAUGGCGUAUACAAAGAGAAGCGACCUCGCGAGAGCAAGCGGACCUCAUAAAGUACGUCGUAGUCCGGAUUGGAGUCUGCAACUCGACUCCAUGAAGUCGGAAUCGCUAGUAAUCGUAGAUCAGAAUGCUACGGUGAAUACGUUCCCGGGCCUUGUACACACCGCCCGUCACACCAUGGGAGUGGGUUGCAAAAGAAGUAGGUAGCUUAACCUUCGGGAGGGCGCUUACCACUUUGUGAUUCAUGACUGGGGUGAAGUCGUAACAAGGUAACCGUAGGGGAACCUGCGGUUGGAUCACCUCCUUACCAAGAAG